RNAcentral lists this ribosomal RNA (468 nucleotides) under uncultured bacterium. Its description in RNAcentral is "partial 16S ribosomal RNA". It matches the Rfam family "Bacterial small subunit ribosomal RNA", at positions 28 to 507 of the family's 1533-position model. The record is from RNAcentral.
GACGAACGCUGGCGGCGUGCUUAACACAUGCAAGUCGAACGGAAAGACCCUGCUUUUGUGGGGUGCUCGAGUGGCGAACGGGUGAGUAACACGUGAGUAACCUGCCCUUGACUUUGGGAUAACUUCAGGAAACUGGGGCUAAUACCGGAUAGGAGCUCCUGCUGCAUGGUGGGGGUUGGAAAGUUUCGGCGGUUGGGGAUGGACUCGCGGCUUAUCAGCUUGUUGGUGGGGUAGUGGCUUACCAAGGCUUGGACGGGUAGCCGGCCUGAGAGGGUGACCGGCCACAUUGGGACUGAGAUACGGCCCAGACUCCUACGGGAGGCAGCAGUGGGGAAUAUUGCACAAUGGGCGGAAGCCUGAUGCAGCAACGCCGCGUGCGGGAUGACGACCUUCGGGUUGUAAACCGCUUUCGCCUGUGACGAAGCGUGAGUGACGGUAAUGGGUAAAGAAGCACCGGCUAACUACGUG